GGGACACAAGACACAAGACAAAUUUUCAAGAUGUUUUGGCUUUGAUGACUUUUCAUAGCAUACCAUUUACUAGCUGAUAACCUGUCUUGGUGUGCUAACACCUACUCUGGUGGACUUUCCUUGAGUACAUCAGUCUGGAGAGUGAUGUCAGAGCGAGGAGUGGUCUGAUUGUCUGACUCUUGCACAGCCAUACUGGUUAGACUUGACGUCUUUCACUUGUAAGAAGGCCUGCAUUUAAGGUCAGCUUUAAUGGCAGCUGUAAUGGCAUGAGGAUGGGAUGAGUUUCUCAGCAGAGACCUUUGGCUUUCAAUGGAUCCUUCUCAGAGAGACUGUUGGCUUGCAGGGGAAGAUGGCAGUCCCCUGUCAGAUGAGCAACAGCUCACUUUAAUUGCAGAUCUGGACAUUGCCGAUUUAGUGGAUUUGGACUUGUACAGUUCAAUCCCAUUUCAGCCCCAGCCCCAACUCCAGCCCCAACUCCAGCCCCAGCGCCGACUCCAGCCCCAACUCGAGCCCCAACUCCAGGCCC
This is a long non-coding RNA of Conger conger (European conger), 526 nucleotides long. RefSeq lists it as uncharacterized. The transcript is spliced from 3 exons. Lineage: Eukaryota; Metazoa; Chordata; Actinopteri; Anguilliformes; Congridae. The record is from RefSeq and is a predicted model, not a curated record.